Molecule: long non-coding RNA, 1039 nt
Organism: Oncorhynchus tshawytscha (Chinook salmon)
Lineage: Eukaryota; Metazoa; Chordata; Actinopteri; Salmoniformes; Salmonidae
Source: Ensembl
GUGGCCAGUAAUAAACUGGUCCUGAACAUCUCUAAAACUAAGAGCAUUGUAUUUGGUACAAGUCAUUCCUUAAGUUCUAGACCUCAGCUGAAUCUGGUAAUGAAUGGUGUGGCUGUUGAACAUGUUGAGGAGACUAAAUUACUUGGCAUUACCUUAGAUUGUAAACUGUCAUGGUCAAAACAUAUAGAUUCAAUGGUUGUAAAGAUGAGGAGAGUUCUGUCUGUAAUAAGGAGAUGCACUGCUUUUUUGACACCACACUCCAAAAAGCAAGUUCUGCAGGUUCUAAUUUUGUCGUGUGGUCCAGUGAUGCAAGGAAAGAGCUAGUUAAGCUGCAGCUGCAACAGUACAGAGCGGCACGUUUUGCUAUUCACUGUAAUCAGAGGGCUGUUAUAAAUACUUUGCAUGCCAGUCUCUCUUGGAUAAGAGUUGAGGAGAGACUGCCUGCAUCACUUCUUCUUUUUCUUUUUUUUUCUUUUUGUUUUCAUUGUUGAAUUUGACCCCUUUUUCUCCCCAAUUUCGUGGUAUCCAAUUGUUUUUAGUAGCUACUAUCUUGUCUUAUCGCCACAACACCCGUACGGGCUCGGGAGAGACGAAGGUUGAAAGUCAUGCGUCCUCCGAUACACAACCCAACCAAGCUGCACUGCUUCUUAACACAGCGCCAUCCAACCCGGAAGCCAGCCGCACCAAUGUGUCGGAGGAAACACUGUGCACCUGGCAACCUUGGUUAGUUUGCCAGGUAACACUGCGCCCGGCCCGCCACACGAGUCGCUGGUGCGUGAUGAGACAAGGAUUUCCCUACCGGCCAAACCCUCCCUAACCCGGACGACGCUAGGCCAAUUGUGCGUCGCCCCACGGACCUCCCGGUCGCGGCCGGUUACGACAGAGCCUGGGCGCGAACCCAGAGUCUCUGGUGGCACAGCUGGCGCUGCAGUACAGCGCCCUUAGCCAUUAAUGUGUUGAAAAUCCCCAAAUGUUUACAUGGUCAACUUACACACAGCUCUGAUACACACACACUUAUCUCACCAGACGUACCACCAGG